AAUGGGGGCACCCUGAUCAGCAUGCCGCGUGUGUGAAGAAGGCCUUCGGGUUGUAAAGUCCUUUCGUGGGGGACGAAAAGGUGGUUCCUAAUACGAGCUGCUGUUGACGUGAACCCAAGAAGAAGCACCGGCUAACUCCGUGCCAGCAGCCGCGGUAAUACGGGGGGUGCAAGCGUUAAUCGGAAUCACUGGGCGUAAAGGGUGCGUAGGCGGUACGUUAGGUCUGUCGUGAAAUCCCCGGGCUCAACCUGGGAAUGGCGGUAGAAACCGGCGCACUAGAGUAUGGGAGAGGGUGGUGGAAUUCCAGGUGUAGCGGUGAAAUGCGUAGAGAUCGGGAGGAACAUCAGUGGCGAAGGCGACCUUCUGGACCAGUACUGACGCUGAGGCACGAAAGCGUGGGGAGCAAACAGGAUUAGAUACCCUGGUAGUCCACGCCCUAAACGAUG
Molecule: ribosomal RNA, 446 nt
Filed under: bacterium A4F3
Lineage: Bacteria
Description: bacterial SSU rRNA
Rfam family: Bacterial small subunit ribosomal RNA
Source: RNAcentral